Molecule: ribosomal RNA, 294 nt
Filed under: uncultured bacterium
Lineage: Bacteria
Description: partial 16S ribosomal RNA
Rfam family: Bacterial small subunit ribosomal RNA
Source: RNAcentral
GGAUUAGAUACCCUGGUAGUCCACGCCGUAAACGAUGGAUACUAGGUGUUUGGGGUGUUAACCCCCUGAGUACCAAAGCUAACGCAUUAAGUAUCCCGCCUGGGGAGUACGGUCGCAAGGCUAAAACUCAAAGGAAUUGACGGGGGCCCGCACAAGCGGUGGAGUAUGUGGUUUAAUUCGAAGCAACGCGCAGAACCUUACCUACCCUUAACAUCCCGGGACAGCUUCAGAGAUGAAGUGUUCUCUUCGGAGACUCGGUGAUAGGUGCUGCAUGGCCGUCGUCAGCUCGUGCCG